GGGUUGUGAGGUUAAGCGACUAAGCGUACACGGUGGAUGCCCUGGCAGUCAGAGGCGAUGAAGGACGUGCUAAUCUGCGAUAAGCGUCGGUAAGGUGAUAUGAACCGUUAUAACCGGCGAUUUCCGAAUGGGGAAACCCAGUGUGUUUCGACACACUAUCAUUAACUGAAUCCAUAGGUUAAUGAGGCGAACCGGGGGAACUGAAACAUCUAAGUACCCCGAGGAAAAGAAAUCAACCGAGAUUCCCCCAGUAGCGGCGAGCGAACGGGGAGGAGCCCAGAGCCUGAAUCAGUGUGUGUGUUAGUGGAAGCGUCUGGAAAGGCGCGCGAUACAGGGUGACAGCCCCGUACACAAAAAUGCACAUGCUGUGAGCUCGAUGAGUAGGGCGGGACACGUGGUAUCCUGUCUGAAUAUGGGGGGACCAUCCUCCAAGGCUAAAUACUCCUGACUGACCGAUAGUGAACCAGUACCGUGAGGGAAAGGCGAAAAGAACCCCGGCGAGGGGAGUGAAAAAGAACCUGAAACCGUGUACGUACAAGCAGUGGGAGCACAGAGCAAUCUGUGUGACUGCGUACCUUUUGUAUAAUGGGUCAGCGACUUAUAUUCUGUAGCAAGGUUAACCGAAUAGGGGAGCCGAAGGGAAACCGAGUCUUAACUGGGCGUUAAGUUGCAGGGUAUAGACCCGAAACCCGGUGAUCUAGCCAUGGGCAGGUUGAAGGUUGGGUAACACUAACUGGAGGACCGAACCGACUAAUGUUGAAAAAUUAGCGGAUGACUUGUGGCUGGGGGUGAAAGGCCAAUCAAACCGGGAGAUAGCUGGUUCUCCCCGAAAGCUAUUUAGGUAGCGCCUCGUGAAUUCAUCUCCGGGGGUAGAGCACUGUUUCGGCAAGGGGGUCAUCCCGACUUACCAACCCGAUGCAAACUGCGAAUACCGGAGAAUGUUAUCACGGGAGACACACGGCGGGUGCUAACGUCCGUCGUGAAGAGGGAAACAACCCAGACCGCCAGCUAAGGUCCCAAAGUCAUGGUUAAGUGGGAAACGAUGUGGGAAGGCCCAGACAGCCAGGAUGUUGGCUUAGAAGCAGCCAUCAUUUAAAGAAAGCGUAAUAGCUCACUGGUCGAGUCGGCCUGCGCGGAAGAUGUAACGGGGCUAAACCAUGCACCGAAGCUGCGGCAGCGACGCUGAUGCGUUGUUGGGUAGGGGAGCGUUCUGUAAGCCUGUGAAGGUGUGCUGUGAGGCAUGCUGGAGGUAUCAGAAGUGCGAAUGCUGACAUAAGUAACGAUAAAGCGGGUGAAAAGCCCGCUCGCCGGAAGACCAAGGGUUCCUGUCCAACGUUAAUCGGGGCAGGGUGAGUCGACCCCUAAGGCGAGGCCGAAAGGCGUAGUCGAUGGGAAACAGGUUAAUAUUCCUGUACUUGGUGUUACUGCGAAGGGGGACGGAGAAGGCUAUGUUGGCCGGGCGACGGUUGUCCCGGUUUAAGCGUGUAGGCUGGUUUUCCAGGCAAAUCCGGAAAACUAAGGCUGAGGCGUGAUGACGAGGCACUACGGUGCUGAAGCAACAAAUGCCCUGCUUCCAGGAAAAGCCUCUAAGCAUCAGGUAACAUCAAAUCGUACCCCAAACCGACACAGGUGGUCAGGUAGAGAAUACCAAGGCGCUUGAGAGAACUCGGGUGAAGGAACUAGGCAAAAUGGUGCCGUAACUUCGGGAGAAGGCACGCUGAUAUGUAGGUGAAGUCCCUCGCGGAUGGAGCUGAAAUCAGUCGAAGAUACCAGCUGGCUGCAACUGUUUAUUAAAAACACAGCACUGUGCAAACACGAAAGUGGACGUAUACGGUGUGACGCCUGCCCGGUGCCGGAAGGUUAAUUGAUGGGGUCAGCGCAAGCGAAGCUCUUGAUCGAAGCCCCGGUAAACGGCGGCCGUAACUAUAACGGUCCUAAGGUAGCGAAAUUCCUUGUCGGGUAAGUUCCGACCUGCACGAAUGGCGUAAUGAUGGCCAGGCUGUCUCCACCCGAGACUCAGUGAAAUUGAACUCGCUGUGAAGAUGCAGUGUACCCGCGGCAAGACGGAAAGACCCCGUGAACCUUUACUAUAGCUUGACACUGAACAUUGAGCCUUGAUGUGUAGGAUAGGUGGGAGGCUUUGAAGUGUGGACGCCAGUCUGCAUGGAGCCGACCUUGAAAUACCACCCUUUAAUGUUUGAUGUUCUAACGUUGACCCGUAAUCCGGGUUGCGGACAGUGUCUGGUGGGUAGUUUGACUGGGGCGGUCUCCUCCUAAAGAGUAACGGAGGAGCACGAAGGUUGGCUAAUCCUGGUCGGACAUCAGGAGGUUAGUGCAAUGGCAUAAGCCAGCUUGACUGCGAGCGUGACGGCGCGAGCAGGUGCGAAAGCAGGUCAUAGUGAUCCGGUGGUUCUGAAUGGAAGGGCCAUCGCUCAACGGAUAAAAGGUACUCCGGGGAUAACAGGCUGAUACCGCCCAAGAGUUCAUAUCGACGGCGGUGUUUGGCACCUCGAUGUCGGCUCAUCACAUCCUGGGGCUGAAGUAGGUCCCAAGGGUAUGGCUGUUCGCCAUUUAAAGUGGUACGCGAGCUGGGUUUAGAACGUCGUGAGACAGUUCGGUCCCUAUCUGCCGUGGGCGCUGGAGAACUGAGGGGGGCUGCUCCUAGUACGAGAGGACCGGAGUGGACGCAUCACUGGUGUUCGGGUUGUCAUGCCAAUGGCACUGCCCGGUAGCUAAAUGCGGAAGAGAUAAGUGCUGAAAGCAUCUAAGCACGAAACUUGCCCCGAGAUGAGUUCUCCCUGACUCCUUGAGAGUCCUGAAGGAACGUUGAAGACGACGACGUUGAUAGGCCGGAUGUGUAAGCGCAGCGAUGCGUUGAGCUAACCGGUACUAAUGAACCGUGAGGCUUAACCUUACAACGCCGAAGGUGUUU
This 2932-nucleotide ribosomal RNA is filed under the name Escherichia coli. RNAcentral's name for it is "bacterial LSU rRNA". It matches the Rfam family "Bacterial large subunit ribosomal RNA". RNAcentral also lists the same sequence under 1 other name. The record is from RNAcentral. Lineage: Bacteria; Pseudomonadati; Pseudomonadota; Gammaproteobacteria; Enterobacterales; Enterobacteriaceae.